GACAUCUCUGUCAUCAGAAAGGACAACACACUGAUUAAGCCGCGCGUUGUGAAACUGACUUCAGGUCAAUAUUUUAAUGGCAGUCGAGGCCCUGGGAUCAGCGCGGCCGUGCUCGGAUUACCUCCACGGCUUGAACUGAACCCUCAUCCUGCCGCUGCUGACAUGAUGCUGUGGCCGCUGUUGACACCAGACCCUUGUCUAGCCCUCCAACACUGUCAGGCCUCAUUAUAUGUCAGCUCUUGACCGUCACAAGACUGGGAAUUAACCAGCGCUGACAGACGCCUGUCACCACCAGCCAGAGAGGUCACUGCCGUUAAUGCAGUUUCAGGAAGAUGAUAGCCAUCUAUGCCAAGUUUAUGGAGCUCAUGGCUCAUCAAUGUGGCAUCAUGAUAGAGCUGUAAUAUGGCAUAGAGGAAUAAAGCAAGAGAGAAAGGGUCAGAGCAGGGCUGAGGCACAAGCAGACACAGAGGGGCACAUUGACCGGUUGAAAGAUGGCUAUCUCUAUGAUUGAUAUAGCAUGUCUGUGUUUUUCAAAUAUUGACAUUUUUGAAAAAUGGUGAUAUCAGAAGUAAGGUUUAGCUUAGUGUAUACCGAGCCCACACGCAAUCCAGGGAAUACCACUUGAAAACAAGAAAAUUCAUCCACUCACGGUGUGAAAUUCUAAUAAUUGUCCUUACUUUGUCGUUGAAUGGUAUGAAAUCUGUCACAGUACAUGAACCAUAAUCAUAAAUCCAAUGCAACUACUGUGCAAAUGGCUAGGGACAUUACAGAUAACUGAAUUCUGCACAGGCUCAACAGUGCGACAAUGAAGCAAUACCUUGCUAAUACCAGGACUUUUCAACAAUAGCCUGUAGUAUGUGCCGCAGCGCUUCACAGCUUCAGUGAGCCAAGAGCCUUCGAGUCGGCAGAAUCCCAAACAUCAUGACAACAAGCCAUCAGUCAUCUUCCCCCCAAGCUGCUGUGCACACUUGUGUGUUUCCGGAGUUCUUACUGUGGGAAAUGAGCAGGGUUAAACAUGAAACAGGAGGAAAUGUUCAUCAUUGCAGCACUCUCUGUAAUAUUCUCCCUCAUACAGCAUUGUUUUCGCUGCAGGGAAAGAGAAGGAGUGGUUUUUAAUUUUUUAAACAUCCCCUGCUUGCUCACAAUGCAAAUCAGUAGUCUACUGUGCAUGCUAAUCAUGGUUAAUAGCAAAAUGCUGAUAGAAAAAUGACAAUGUAUUAAUAAAGCACCAAUCUUCUGUUGAGGUUCAAGGAAGGACUGUUCCUGCAGACAGGAAAUAUUUCAACCUUGGAAAAGUUUGAAAGUUAAAAUCAUCUUGUUUCACAAUGUCUGGCAGUGUCAUGAAACUUGUGUCAGCUUCUUCAAUGAAGCCACAAGACUCCAUGAAUUUUAUGGCUGCAUGUUCCAUCAAAUGGAAAUAUUCUAGAUGUCUUAUGCAUAAUUUUAUACACAUUUCCCCAAAGUUCAGGUUUCAGGCAAGACAUGUUUUGCAUUUUUGGAAAACUUUGGUGUCGCCAGUAGAGUAAAGUAAUCUGGUUUAGAACAACUUGUGACUGCACAUCAUGAGUUUGUAAUGAUUGGACCACUGUCACUACAGAGAUACUGGUAGAAAAAUGACACUGCUGUAAUGUUACUGUUUCAGAAGUGUUUAGUUUUAACAUUUGAGGUUUUACAUGGAUUAUUCAUGCAGUCAAUAAAAUAAAAAUGUCAGUCUUGUGUCAAAUGUCCCAGUUUUAACACUUGUGUAGUGGUGAAAAUAGCAUUACUUCCUCAUGUUUUGGUAUCCCACAACCCAACUGCUGUAUGUGUAAAAAAAGACAACAACAUCAACACAACACAUUUAGUUUUCUUUAAAAACCUUUUGGAUUUUCUUCUAAAAAGUAGGAAACAUGUGAUGAAUAUGAUAAACGAUGGAAAUGACCAUGACACAUUUCAUGUUUUAUAUGUGAUGCUAUGCAUGAGCAAAUAUAUGUUCAUUUUGUUUGCCAAAAAGUCAUUUGCAGGCAAGGAAAUAUAAAGCAUGUUAUCCUACAUUGUGAUAAUGUUUAGGGUCAAUUAGACCCUAGAGACUUAUUUGGGAUUUGGAAGGUGUGAAGUACUGUCAACACCAAUCACAGAUGUGGAGUAAAUGUGAAUUAUCAUAUUAUCAUAUUUUUCCGUAUUUAACAGCUGGGUCUUAUGUCUGGAUAUACAUAAGUAUUCUGAUACAUAUCCAAAAAAAAAUAAUUUCUGGUAUUUUUCUGUUAAUAUCUUUAUGUCCUUUUGUUGUUUGUGAGAUUAUUUUCAGCCACCUUUUUAAUAGUUUUGAUUACAACCGGUGCAUUGAUUAGAUUCUGUGUAAUAAAGCCAUAGUGUGUUAAAUA
Long non-coding RNA from Micropterus salmoides (largemouth bass), 2363 nucleotides. RefSeq lists it as uncharacterized. The transcript has 2 exons. Lineage: Eukaryota; Metazoa; Chordata; Actinopteri; Centrarchiformes; Centrarchidae. The record is from RefSeq and is a predicted model, not a curated record.